CAAGAGGGUCAACAUGCAAACUCCACACAGAAAGGCACCAGCCUGUCUGGGGAUUUGAACCAGGAACCUUUUUUGAUCUGAAGCAACAGCACUAACCACUUUACCAACGCGCUGCCACUUUAAUUCAGUGCAAAAAUAAAAUGUUUUUAAAAAUUAUCCUGAAAACUUUAUUUAUAGGAACAAAGAUUUGACCUGCAGAGCCCAGAAGAGGACUCUACUUUUUGAAGCGAGGAGAGUUUGGGUUCUGCAGGAUCUGGAUGCGGUCUCCUCAAAGGGAAGAUGACUGAACAGACCUUCGGGACACUGAAUCCUUCACUCAGCAGAGACGCAGGAGUCUGUCUGUCUGUCUGCAGGUAGAAUCUCAGCUCAGACACAUUCUGCUUUUGAGGAUCAAGGUGUGAAAAAUCGUCCCUAUUGUCCGACUAUUUGCCAAGAAGUUCUCACAAACAUCUGCAGGAGGUGAAACUUGGGCCAAAAAGAGAAGUCUCUGAAGGACGGCGGUGAGAGCUCUGAAGGACCUUCUCUGGAGGAAAGAGGAGGAAGGAAGCGUGUUCAGCGUUUCUCCAUCUGUCGCUCGGACACCAGAGAACACAAAGACGGAGGAGAGGGAGUCAGUCCGUGAAGAGAGGAGGGCAGUGAUGAUUCAAACUAAACCUGCAGCCCACUGCAGGUAUUCAAGCUCCCUGGACUCAAAUCAAGCUUAAAGGAUAAUUCCAGGGUUUUAAAAGUGCAGAUUUCCUGUCUGUAAUAAUCACAUUAAACUCGAGGUUAAUGACUGAGAUCGGGGAAUGUGGUGACGCUGCUGAAAAGACUCACUUCAGCACUCGCUUUCAGAUUAACCCCUGAGUACAGUGGUUUGGAGAAACUCAGAUAAAGUGUUUCCAACCUGU
Long non-coding RNA from Notolabrus celidotus (New Zealand spotty), 890 nucleotides. RefSeq lists it as uncharacterized. NCBI's taxonomy places the organism in Eukaryota, Metazoa, Chordata, Actinopteri, Labriformes, Labridae. The record is from RefSeq and is a predicted model, not a curated record. The transcript has 4 exons.